CCGGCUUAUCCUUCAUGAUGAUGGGCUCAUGCAAAUCUUUGCAAUAAAGAUGAUCUUCCAUCAUCGGUUUCCAAUAAGAGAAGUUGUCCGUCGUGAGCUUGAACAUAUCACCUUCAAAGGUAACGGUGGCCUCCAUCUUCACUUCUUCAAAGAUAACCGGUAACUUAGCUCUGAUACCAGUUGUUGGGAAAAAUUAGCGGAUAAUAUUUUCUUCGAGAGGUUAAGAUGAAAUGUAGACGGUUUAUGUUUGAGAUAGCCUUCUUAUUUUUAGGAAAGGGAUUUUCUACUAAAGCUUUUGUUUGGAGAUAUCUUAGAAACUUUUUGAACUCUUUAUGAAAUGUUUUCUUUCUAUUGCUUUUCUUGAUUCUGGAUGAUUACAAG
Molecule: long non-coding RNA, 381 nt
Filed under: Brassica rapa (field mustard)
Lineage: Eukaryota; Viridiplantae; Streptophyta; Magnoliopsida; Brassicales; Brassicaceae
Description: long non-coding RNA (BRAP_LNC003348)
Source: RNAcentral